CCAGUAAUUUGAGUGAAAGUUUAAAAGAAUCCCAGAAAAAUCGUGAAUAAGACCAGGAAAGAUCGGGUAAUAUCAUGUGUACGAUCAUCAACAGUAUAAAAGACAUAAA
This 109-nucleotide ribosomal RNA is filed under the name uncultured Symbiodinium. RNAcentral describes it as "partial Archaeal large subunit ribosomal RNA". The record is from RNAcentral. Lineage: Eukaryota; Dinophyceae; Suessiales; Symbiodiniaceae.